UGGGGAAUUUUGGACAAUGGGGGCAACCCUGAUCCAGCAAUGCCGCGUGAGUGAAGAAGGCCUUCGGGUCGUAAAGCUCUUUUGUCAGGGAAGAAACACCGGCUCUAACACAGUCCGGGAAUGACGGUACCUGAAGAAUAAGCACCGGCUAACUACGUGCCAGCAGCCGCGGUAAUACGUAGGGUGCAAGCGUUAAUCGGAAUUACUGGGCGUAAAGCGUGCGCAGGCGGUUAUACAAGACAGGCGUGAAAUCCCCGGGCUUAACCUGGGAAUGGCGCCUGUGACUGUAUAGCUAGAGUGUGUCAGAGGGGGGUAGAAUUCCACGUGUAGCAGUGAAAUGCGUAGAUAUGUGGAGGAAUACCAAUGGCGAAGGCAGCCCCCUGGGAUAACACUGACGCUCAUGCACGAAAGCGUGGGGAGCAAACAGGAUUAGAUACCCUGGUAGUCCACGCCCUAAACGAUGCUGACUAGUUGUUCGGGAUUUAUAUCCUGAGUAACGUAGCUAACGCGUGAAGUCAGCCGCCUGGGGAGUACGGUCGCAAGAUUA
RNAcentral lists this ribosomal RNA (547 nucleotides) under uncultured prokaryote. RNAcentral describes it as "bacterial SSU rRNA". It matches the Rfam family "Bacterial small subunit ribosomal RNA", at positions 355 to 896 of the family's 1533-position model. The record is from RNAcentral.